This 351-nucleotide ribosomal RNA is filed under the name uncultured bacterium. RNAcentral describes it as "bacterial SSU rRNA". It matches the Rfam family "Bacterial small subunit ribosomal RNA", at positions 917 to 1271 of the family's 1533-position model. The record is from RNAcentral.
GGGCCCGCACAAGCGGUGGAGCAUGUGGUUUAAUUCGAUGCAACGCGAAGAACCUUACCAAGGCUUGACAUACUACAAAUUUCUUUGAAAGAGGGAAAGUGCCUUCGGGAAUGUAGAUACAGGUGGUGCAUGGCUGUCGUCAGCUCGUGUCGUGAGAUGUUGGGUUAAGUCCCGCAACGAGCGCAACCCUUAUUUUUAGUUACCAAUUCGUUGGGUUUUUUAGAAAGACUGCCGGUGACAAACCGGAGGAAGGUGAGGAUGACGUCAAGUCAGCAUGCCCCUUAUGUCCUGGGCUACACACGUGCUACAAUGGUAUCUACAACAGGAAGCAAGACGGCGACGUCAAGCAAA